UCAAAGAUGCAUAAAGCAUUAACUGCGACCUCAGGCCCAAAGAUGCAUAAAACACUACUCCGGUCACAUGCCCAAAUAUAGGUGUUCGACAUUCAUGGAUUUAAAACCAGGAACUGAGAAUCAUACUGAAAUACAUGAUAGUGAAAUACUGAAUCACAUUAAGUUUAUGAUACUGAAAUAGUGAAUAGGACGAGGCUGAGACAUGUAUUCUUGAACUGAUUAUGAAUAUUGAAACUUCAACUGUUUAUGGCAUACUGAGUAAUCUAUACUAAGACUUGGGGGAAUCAAACCCAAGUCUAACUUGAAUGUGCACUGAGCUCACAACAUUCAGAAUGAAAGUCAUGAAUGAAUUACAAAGCUAGAGAAUAGAAGUUCUGCAACUAUUCAAGUAAACUAGGCUUAACUAUUUUCUGAGGAAAUUAGUAACAUCGUAAAGGAAAUGUAGUGUAGGGAGAAUCAUUAACAUUCCCAAACAUAGAGAGUUAGCCUCACAUACCUUAACUUCCUGCUCUUGAGCGUAAUACAACAUUCAUCAACCCUUUCAACUUUAAUCUAUAUCAAUACAAGUCAAAGGGAUUCCAUAUUAGCAAAAUUACUCAUGUUUUGGUUACUUAGACAUUUUCUCAAACAAUUGAUGACAUAAAGCUUCAUAGUCCUUAUUAAUGGUGUCUCUACAUCCAAUGACCCAUUCUCUUGUUCCUACAUAAAUUCUGAAGUCUCAUAUGGUUACAAUCAACAUCAUUCUUUAUCACACAUGAGUAAAUGUUGAUACCCAACUUUUUAUAUAUAUAUAUAUAUAUANNNNNNNNNNNNNNNNNNNNNNNNNNNNNNNNNNNNNNNNNNNNNNNNNNNNNNNNNNNNNNNNNNNNNNNNNNNNNNNNNNNNNNNNNNNNNUAUAUAUAUGAAUGUGGCCAAGUGUCUUGGUAUUCUUUCAAAUUUUUUAAAGAUUGUCUACACUAAUUUAUUGACUAUUUUAAUACUAUAAAAUUCACUAAUUAUUCCCAAAGUUAUAAUUUUGGUGAAUAACUCAUUCCAUUCUCAUAUUUAUUCUAAAAUAUAAUUUAAAUAAAUUUUGAACAUUUUUUUACACAUUUGUUUGGUAUUUUUAAAGCUAAAUUACAUAUAUUUACAAUUAUAGCCUAUUUUAUAACUAAUUCUAUUUUAUAAUUAUCAAAUUAUUUUUAGUAUUUUUAGAUUAAUAUAUAUCUAUUAUUAAUUGGUUCAGUGCUAUUAAUUUAUUUUUAAAAUUAUUUGAUCUAUUUUAUAUAAAAUUAAAAGGAAAAAAUCGAUUAUUUAACAUUUAGCCUCAUUUCAUUGCAAUUAUAGCCUAUUCAGAUUUCAAUUUUAACCCUCAAUUUAUCCAACCUUAACCCCAAUUGGAUUGACCCAUAUUUCAAUUAACCAACCCAGCCUAGCUCCGAUUGAAUCUGAACCGUUGAUCAAACGAUAUCAACGAUCCAGAUCCAAUUACCCUAAUUAAAUCCUAAUCACCCCCAGACCCCUCAUUUUCCAAGAUUCUCUCUAUCUAUACUAACUCUCCGUCUCCCUUCUUUCUAGGACAUUCUGGUUCUCUCUUCUGUUCCGUUGAACCCCACCGCCUCUCCGGCUACCUCCAGCCUCACCUCCUCCGACCGCUGGUCACCGUGAAGCUUUACCUCAUUGGUUACCUCUAUCCUUGAGGCCUCAAAAUCCUCCACCAUGCGAGAUGGUCACUAAAUAUUGGUCUAGUUAGUCUCCGACCUUUUUUCCGAUCGGUUUUGGUCCGAUGGUGCUGUGGACACCAUUAUUUCACAACCAGGUUUCUCUCAUCUCUUACUGGUUUCUUAAGAAACCCUAACCUCUACCUAGGACUCUUAAAUCUCUGCCUUUUUAAACUAUUUUUAACUUACUCUUCUAUGUUUUACACUACUCUCUACUCGAUCUUUACGAUUGUUCAAGAUUUAAACGUUUUUUCCCUUUUUGAAACUAGGGUUUCUGAACCCCCUUUUUCAAAAUCACUUUGCUUUUAUGAUUUUUGAGUAUUGACUCGUGACUCUCAUUGCUAUUUAUAACGUUUUGCUUAAGUUGGAUUAAACCCUAACUCUGUUCUGAAUCUCUCAAAAAACAGUGUUAUUUCAUGCUAUUUUCAUGUUUUCCUCUAUGCUCUGUUUAUUCUUGAAGAUCCUUUACUUUGAGCCAUUUUUUUACUUAUGGUUUCUUGGAUUUCUUUUAUGCUUGCUUCGAUUGAUUUUAUUUAUCAUUAAAAUCUUUUCUUUGUUUAUUAUGACCAAUUUCUAUGCUCUUACUGUUUUUAGUUUGGCUCUGCUAAAACGCUAAUUUCUAGAAAAUAUUUCUUUGUUUGAUUAAGUGUGUUAGCAUGUUUCUUUGCUUCAAUUAUAUGUGUUAGCCUAAUUUCCUUUACCUUGGCCCUAGCAUGUUUCUUCGUUUGAUUGUGCAUACUAACUUGAUUGUCCUUGCUUUGGUUCUAUCUGCUAGCCUAUUUUCUUGAUUCUUGUUAAUGUUUUAUGGUCACCACACUUCGAAUAUGCCUUGCUAAAUCUUGACUUGUUUUCACUAUCUCUGAGUGGUUGUGUGUGUUCAUCUCUUGUUCCUUCCUGGCUAAUUUUGUUUGCUACUUUUGUUCAUUCACCUCUGUUCAUAUGUUAAAAAUGCAGAAUCAUGACUUCACAUGAUUAAUUCUGAUUUUCCUUGAUUGAUUGGCAAUUUAAAAACUUUCUUUUAAAAAACCUAGCAUUCUACCCGUCCGUUUAAAUUAAUUGGUUUUGUUACCUUAUUUGUUAUAGUACUCUAUUCUUUUAAGCCUUUCCUUAAUUAGAAUCUUUCUGAAUUUGGUCUUAGUUGGCUACUAUAUGCAAUAUUAAAUCUUGAUCCUCUCGUUAUUUAUUCGAACACCGAUUUUUCUACCUGCCUUAUAUGGUGCUGAAUAUUUUCGUUUGAUUUUGAUUCCCAUAAUUAAUGGAAGUACUUCCUUGUUUCUUUGAUUAGUUGAUUCCGAGUUCUUCAAUUAAUAUAUUUAUGUAAUUUUUACCUUAUAUUACCACAUACCUUCAACAAUAAAUACCCUAAGUCUUUAUACAAAACACACAUAGUCUUUUGACUUACACACAUCACUAGAUGCUUUCAAAAUAUCUUUAGCUCUCUUGCUCUAUUGUUAUUUUGCUCUUUUGGUCUAUUACUGCUCUCUGCUCCUGCUCAUUAUCAACCGGCUGAAAGCUAAGGCCAACAUAGUAUUACUACUUUGCAUCCUAUUUUGUUUUUUUACUGGUAUGUCCUCUAUUUGAUUUACAGUUUUCAAAACAAUAUAUUUUUAUCGGCAUUUCACUUCCUUUUGUUUCUUGUAUCCUUUUACUUAUGGUUCUGUGGUUCUCAUUGAAACUAACAUGCCUCUGUGUUAGUUUAUUAAUGUGACUAUCCUUAUCUUAAUUCAGCGUGCCUACUGUUUUGCUUAAUGCAUAUUCUCCUCUACACCCUAGACCCAGUACCUUAUCAGUAUGUAAUCAUUAACCUUUCUGGUUGAAACGUGAUGUGACUGUCUAAGUUCUGAAAUGCUUUUCUUUGAUAUCUGUGUAUAUGCAAUUGUGUUCUUACAUAUGAACUACUUGUCCUCUAUCCCCUGUUUGUAUUUGUUUCCCUGAAUUAUGUAUGAUAAUCUAGUAUGAGAUUGUCUUACUCCCCUUCUUACAUGAGUUAUCACACUCUUCUGUUGUUUCUUUCAAGUGCUGCCUCCAUAUGGAUCAUUUUUUUUAAAACUGUUUUCUUUUCUCAACUCAAUUUCUUUUAAAUAAAAAACUCUAUCACACACUCUCACUGCUUUUAGAAAUUAGGUUCUACCCCUUAGUGUAAGCUACAUGCAUUUAACGGGUGGGCCGGGCUGGGCCUAUAUUCUUUGGACCCACAUGGGUUACGGUCCGGGCAGGUUAUGUGUUGUGUCUUAACAGGUUUACAAGAUUUGGGUUCAUCCGAGUAAUAAUUAAACCAUAAGGGUUACGGGCUGAGGGGCCGGUCGAGGCCGCGCCGGGUUUAGUGUAUUUUUUGGGGUAUUUUGUAUAACUAUUGUAAGUUAUAUUAAUACUUUUUAUUAAUUUAAAGAAUAGGAAUAUGAAAAAAAUUGCACUUAUAAGUUGCAAGUGCUACAUUUAUUUCAAAAUUCGAAUUUAAAGUUUGCACUUAAAAAGUAAAUUAUCAAAACAAAGUAAGACUAAAUUUUCACGCAUAAUAAAUUAAUAAUACUUCAAAUAAUCAAACAAACUAAAACAAUAAUCAUAUAUACGUCUAAUAAUUUAAAAAUACCACAAAUUAUCUUAAAAUUCUUAAAAUAAAAGAUAUAUAGCAUAUUUUAAAAAUAAUACGCUACCAUCAUAUUCUAUGAUUUGAGCAUUUAUAGGUUUAUACCCUACAUAUAUACACUAUAUGUUAAAUUCCAACAAUUUUAAGUUAUGUUAAUUAGUAUACAAUAAUUGAUAUAUUCAUGGUAUAUUCAUAGUAUAGUUAUAAUAUAUUUAUAGUAUAUUCAUGUUAUAUUCACGGUCCGGGCUGGUCCGGUUAACGAGUCUAACGACAUUGUUCAUUUAACGGGUUUUAUUGGGCCGGGUAACCCGUUUAAAAAAAUUAAACCAUCUAAACCCCUAACCCUCCUACCCAGCCUAGUCCAGCCCCCUUAUCGGUCCGGGCUGGUUCCGGAUUUUAUCGGUUGUUGAUACCCAAUGUUUUUCUAUAUAUUUUUAUAUAUACUCAAAGAUAUGGAUGUAUGUAUGCAUAUAUAAGCAUGCCCAAAGGUUUUGGUAUUUUUCUCAAUUUUUAAGGGUUUUUAGAAUUAAUUUAUUGUCUAUUUUUAACAGUAAAAAAUCUAAAAUUAUAUCCGAAUUAUCAUUUUUGAUGAAUAGCGUAUUUCAUUCUCAUAUUUACAAUAAAAUAUAAUUAAUAUAAUUUGCAUAUUUUUACAAAUUUGUUUGGAAUUUUUAAAGCUAAAUUGCAUGAAAUUGCAAUUAUAGCAUAUGUUAUAAUUAACCGCAUUUUGUAAUUAUAAAAUUAUUUUUGGUAUUUUUUUAUUAAUAUUUAUAUAUUAUUAAUUAGUUCUGUAUUUUUAAUUUAUUUUUAAAUCAUUUUUAGCUAUUUUUAUUAAUUAAAAAGGGAACAAAUGGCUAUUUAAAAGCUGACCCCUUUUAUUUCAAAUCUAGCCCAAAUUGCACCCUUAAUUAACCCCAAUUUUAACCCUUUUAUCGACGAUUUUAACCUAAUUAUGUUAGUUUAUGAUUGGUUUCAACCUCCUUUUAUAAAGGCUCGAUUGAUUUGCUAAUGAUUUUUACAACUUAACUCCUUCCCCUCUUUUCCUGACUAAGUUCAUUCAAGACUUUUAAAUUUUUGGCUGUUUGAUUACUUUAUUUACUUAUUCUUUCAAAAUCGUUUACUAUAGGCUUCUUACCUUAAAUACACCCUGCGGACUUACCCUUAUUACGCUACUCUGAAAAGGUUUGCAUUAUUUUCCUUUUAUUAAUUACUCAUUCCCAUUUGACAUCAAAUCCCUUUGACUAAGCGAGAUUCUAUUUAUUUGAUUGAAAUUUUAUUUCCUUGCCUUUUUCUUUACUCAUUUUUGCACUAUAAAAAGAAACAACCUUUUCAACUCUAGACAUUUCUCAACACAGUUCUUUCUGCACUUUUGCAAUACACCUCACACUUCAAAAAAUAAAAAAUACUUCUUUUUCAAUAUUGAAUAACAGUUCCCUCUCUACUAUCCCUCUCUCUACUACUACUUUCUCUACAACUACUGAGCAUUAUGCUCCUUUCUUUCCUACUGUCUGAAUAUUCUGGAGUUCCUAUGAACUCCCAUGUGCUUGCUGAAGUUUUUUGGUUGUUCCUGUUAACUGUAUGACUGUCUACUUGCUGUUGUUUCUCUGUUGUACUAGAAUUGCAACUGGUAUGUAUUUCUAGUUAAAUAACACUCUCCAACUAUGUGUGUUCACUUCUCUUCUUCAACACAUUCUUCACUAUGUGUUUAUGUCCUGUAGCUGUAGCAUGUUCUAUUCUUUCUUCUAUGUAUUCAGUCUGCUAUGCUUUCUUAUAUGCAUAUUCUUUACUAUGUGUUUAUGUCCUAUAACUAUAGCAUGUUCUAUUCUUUCUUCUAUUUUCUUGCAUCUUCAGUCUGCUAUGCUUUCUUAUAUUUUCCUUAAAAUCAGUGUAUGCUUUUUGUAUGGAAAUCCCUUCCCUCUAUUCCCUUUUCUGUGUGUGAGUACUGUUAUGAACCAUGGCAACACCUUAAAUUGCUGUCCAUGAUCCAGAACUAGGCUCUCCUGAGUCUCUACUCAAAUGCUUUCCCAUUCCCUCUCCCUUUUAUGUCUUGAGCUUUAACUUGGGUCCGGUAGUGUCCUAAUCACCACUCAGACCCUAAGUUUGACUCCCCAGAGUCUGCUCCUAUUUGUUCCCUUUAUAUGUUGAGCUUUAACUUGGUCCUGAUGGUGUCCUAAUCACCAUUCAAACCUAAGUUUGACUCUCCAGAGUCUGCUCCUAUUUGUUUGACCUAAGAAAGGGGUCAAGGAUGUGCCAACCUAUGCCACGGCUGGGUAUGACCACCCUCUGCUAUGGUUCCUCUCUCACUUUGCACUCAAUACUAGUUCUUAAGUUAUGCCCCCAUUUGGUAAGCCAUGCUUUGGGACCUUGGAGUUCCCCCUGAACUUGGAUGCCUGAGAGCUGGUAAUUCCACACUUGCACUAUUCUGUUACAACAUUUAUUAUUUGAGUGUAAGCAUUGCCUGGGGGUCCUGGAGGCUCCUUGGAACUUUGAAACACUCUGAAUUAGAGAAUGCCUUGGAACCUGGAAUUAGGAUUUGGUGAAACACAUGUUAUUGGAUAUUAAGAUUGAAUUAAGCUGCUCGCAUCUAGCUGUCGGUUGUGAUGUAUUUUUGUUUACCUUCUUUGUUCUGGUUCUGUAAUAAUCUUGUAAAAAGAACUCGGGGAAAGUGUUAGUGAAGAGGAUGGGAGGGGUUUAAUUUAUUGCAAAAAGGGUAGAUACCAUGCCUAUAGGUUUGUUAUUACUUAAUCACCUAGAGAUCAUGUCUAUAAGAUUUUGCACUUUCUUAACUCAAUCAUCUAGAAAUCAUGUCUAUAAGAAUUAAUAUUCAGUCAUGUUGCAAAUCAUUAGAACUCCUGCCUAUUGGACCUACUAAUCAACUAAUUGCAUAUUGCAAUCGUGCCUAUAGGAAAUGCGUGAAACGUUAGGCAAAUCGUAGGGUAAUCAAAAUACUCAUUUUCUUAACGUUUAAUAACAGUAACGAGUCUUAAAAAAUCAAGGUAUAGAUAUCCUGCCUAUAGGGUUUCAGACUCGCAAUAUCUGUGUAAGUAAUAACCUGGCCAUUGGCUUCAGCGUUUUCGAACUAAGCUCGUCCAAACUUGUCUGCAAUUUUCUGAACUUGCAUUUUCUUUUUUCUGAAAUAUUUUUUCAACUCUCUGCCUGAAUUUUAUUCAUCUCAUGAAGCUCUCUUUCAGAACAGGUUUCAAACUCACUCUUCUUUUAAAGCAUUAUUACUUCUGAAAACUCUACUUUACAAUUCCACCGUAUUUCUACUUAAACAAAUCUGCGGAUUUUUCAAGACCUCUCUGAACUUCUGUAAUUUCCAACCUUCUAUUUUAAACUCUCCUGCAUUAGGUUCUUAAUCAGUAACUUGUAUAAAAUACCUCAACUUCCGACAAUUGGAUCCGGGUUGCCUAAUGCAAACUUUUUACCCAACUCUAUGUGUUAAACUAAUUUGUCCGCUGUUUAAUUUUUGAAAAUCAAAGUUGAAUCUAGGUUGCCUAAUGCCGACUUUUUAUCAAACUCUAUAUGUUAAACUAAUCUAUCCGCUGUUUAAUUUUUAAUGACCAAAUCAAUAUAUGCAAGACAUAUUAAACUAAUUUCUAUGUGAUUUAUGGGGGUUUAUAUUAGCCUUUUGUGUGUUUGUUUUAUUUUCCAUUUACAUGCUAUUUGUUUUGAUUGACGCCCUAGUACUUUACGCUUUUGAAAUUCCAUAUAUACCUAUACUCCCUUGCCUCCCACUUAGGAUUAGAAGUCCUAAGCCCUAGGGCUGAUAGGUUGGGACGAGUAUUUGCAUGCAAUAAGUAAAUGAGACUAAUCGCGUUUAAUUUCUUAACGGGGUGGGAAGCGUAGAAUAUGAAUAUGAUGACCGGUGCGCUUAUAUCUCGUGUAAGAAUAAUUGCUGGGUAUUGCACCGAUGAGAUCCCUAAUAUAUUUAAACCUAGUACCCCUUUUCAUUAUAUAUAUGAUGUGAUUAAUGUUUUCUUCAAUUAAUCUUUUUCUUUCCAAAACCACUUAUGUCUUCUAAUCUUCUCUCUUUUCUUUCAAAACUUUCAACUUAUAUGUAUUCCCUAUGUGGAAGCAUUGUUUGUUUACUUCUACUUUUCUUAAAGUCACAACUAAGUAUGACCGGGAACUACACUAGUGGAUCUUGAGGGGUACCUAACACCUUCCCCUCGAGAUAAUCUCAAGCCCUUACCCGAACUCUGAUUUUUCUUUCAAAAAAUCUUCUUCUUUUCUUUACCGUGUCCUAAUGUAUUAUAAUCAUUAGGUGGAGAAUCUUCAAAUUCAUAACCCGAUUCCUCAAAAGGGAAUGAGAGUUGUUUUGUCCAUAAUGUCGUAAACCCGAAUUUGCCUUAGAAAAAGGGGGCGUCGACAGCAUGGCGACUCUGCUGGGGAUUUCUUUAGGCUUUUACCAUUACGUGCUUUUGUGACUUUAUUGCUUCCUUAAUUGCAUUAGUUUUCUAUUUUUAAUUAUUUCAUCAUAAAUACUAACUUGGAACUUCAUGGUUUUUUUUCUUUCUUUUAAUUUCUUUCUUUAUUGCCUUAUCAUUAUUUCAAUUCCGUUGUAACUUUCGAGCAUUUAUUGUAACCUUUGCUUUAUGAACGUGAAAAUAUAUUCAACUUAUUUCAUUAUUGUAACUGCAUUCCUCGACAUCAUACUCCACUCCUGCCAAAACUCCUAUUGCAAUGCUUAUAAUGAGUGGUUGCGCCCUUCCGAUAUUAUCACCCCUUAAAUGCGGCAAAGGCAUAUAUGCAGUAAAACUAGUCGAUCAACGCUGUAGUCGACGGUUCCGCGCCUUUCCCUCUUGAGUUGUCCGCUCAAGGGUACCUUGUCUAGCAUUUCAAAAGUAGAAACUAUAUUACAUUAAACUGUUCAUGCGUCAUGGUCAACCCUAGCCAAGUCAGUUAUGUUGUCCGCAUAAUGACUUAUUAGGAUAGCUUAAAACAAAGUCCACCAGGUUUCCCCGAAACCCAACUGGACACCUCCAUGUUAUGUGCAUUUAUUUGGAGAACUAAAUGCCUUUAUUGAUAAUUAUUGAUUUAAAUAGUCGAGUCUGGUGGGGUUAAGGGCCUAACGCUUUGUUUUGCAGAAAAAGAGGCACGAGGUCCCCAGAUUCGGUAUGGUAUCCAACAUGCACCCAAGGUUGCUAAGCUGGUGGGAAGAUCUUCAUGGCAGUGAUCAAACCCUCGUCUGAGGCACGAAGUCCCCAGAUUCGUUAUGGUAACAAACAUCCAGCCAAGGUUGAUAAGCUGGUGGGAGAACCUUCACGUUAGUGACCAGACCCUUGUCCGCAAAUACUUAGAAAACCUUCUUUCAAUUUGGAAGUUAAGCAUGACAACAAGAUUAUCGAAGCUGCUACUUUAUUACGGGACAGUGAUAGGUCAGUUUUUCGCUUUGGGGACCUCGAGAUGACCCCUUUGCUGGAAGAAAUAAGGGGGUCUAGCUGGAAUACCUUGGGAGACACUAGGUCUACUUAGGCCAGAAAAUCGCAAAGGAAGGGGUUUUCUCAAAAUUAUGGGACUCAAGAAGAACCCCAAUCUGACUAGUCUGAAGGAGUCCUACAUAUUCAUUGAAUCUAUUGAACUGGACCGGUAUCAUGACGGGUAUGUACCGCAGAAGAUGAUCACGUUGGUUUGGGUUGGCUAGGAUUUGUCCAUAGUUAUAAGCAUAUUGAUAAGAAAACUACAGCGCUAGUCAAAUACAAUCAGAUGUGCAAGAGGAUGCGAGAAUGUGAAAAUGAGCACCGAAAAAUACAGGAAGCCCACGAAAAGCUGAUCAACGAAUGGAAAGACAUGGUUGUCAACGCUAACAAUCGGUCGGGGUAUCUGGAGCGAGGUCUAGUAGAGUUGGAAGGGAAGUUCUUUAAGAGGAUUGAAGAUUUCCAGAAUGCAAAGGAAGUGCAGGCGGACAUCUAGCUUGAGCCUAUCUGCUGUUAGGUCUGCGCGAGUUGAUACAACUGUACGAGGGAGGCAAGAGUACCGAACCUGGGGAAGGUCCUUCUGGACCAAGUAGUUUGGAUCUUUUAUUUCUUUCAUAAUGUAAUAAGGCCACUGGCCAUUAGUAGCAUCUUUUAUUAUUUAGUUGUUUUAGGACUCAUCUUGUUGUUAUCAAUGAAAUGAGGCAUUUAGCAUUAUAAGUUCUCCAAAUUUGCCACUAGGCCUACCUCGGGCACGAUGAGGCACCCAAAUUAGGACACAACUUAUAUUCUUGCACAAUGUGUUUAAAUAUUGCAAUAUCCUCUUUCUGAGAAUCCGCAUUGACUUUUCACCUUUUUGUUUUUCUUUUAUUUUUAUUCCCAUCCCUAAAGGUUAGUUCAUGCAUUCUGGCACCAUCAACAUACACAACAAGAUCCAAGGGUCCUCCACCUCCUCCUUCUCUGAGUCCUACCAGGAAAAGGAACAAAGGCAAAAUGGGAAAUGCGAGUGCUAGAAAGGAACUUGAGGAAACUUCUCAGAACACUUCAAUUACCAAGGAGACUGUUGUUCAUCUUGAGCAGACUUUGCUGAGAUUUCGGGAAGAAUUGGACCAAGUCCGGAACUUGGCAAGCAUGUUAAUUAUUCUUGCCGCUCUUGAUGUUAACACCCAGAACCCCGUACCUCCACAAAAUACCCCGCAACCACCAAAACAACCCACUCAUACCCAAGCCUACAACACAUGCAAUAACACUCCAUUGCUCAUUCCCUAACCGCAAAACACCAUAAACGACCACAUCCAUAACAAUCCCAUCUUUGUGGACACUAUAUCCCAUUAUAUCCAUCCAAUCAGAAGUGCACCCGAAUCAGAUGACAAGAACUCCCUCAUUCAGAAUUUGGCCGCUGAACUCAAGAAACUAACUAGCCGGGUUCUGUUGAUACCUAAUUUUUCACUAUAUAUUUUAUAAUCGAAAUAUUCUAAAAAAUAGCAUAUAUAAGCAUCCACAAAGGUUUUAGUAUUUUUCUAUAUUUUAUGACUUUUAAAAUCAAUUUAUGACUUAUUUUUGCAUUAUAAAAUCUAAUAAUUAUUCCCAAAAUUUGUUAUUUUGGUGAAUAAUUUAUUUUAUUCUCUCAUUUGCAGGAAAAUAUAAUUUACAUGAUUUUUACAAAUUUUACAAGUUCAUUUGGUAUUUUUAAUUGUAUUUUUAAACAUCGUAUGCUAUUUUACAAAAUUCCAAUUAGGGGAAAGUUGGCUAUUUAAAUUAUAGCAUUUUUAUUUCGAAUUGUAGCCUAAUUCCCAACAUCAGUUACACUACCCAAUUCAUUAAAUAACCAUACCUAUAUCUAAUCAAACUAACCCGCCCGGACCCCUAUUUUGAAUCGUGGUUGCUGAUUGUUUUAACCAAAGGUCCAUGAUUGCCUUGCCUUAAUUAAACCCCUAACAAACCCUAAUCCCCCUCAUUUGCACUUUAGAGCCGCCUCUGAAUCCCUCCCCUUCUCAAACUCUCUCGAGUGUUCUUGAAAUCCUAAUCACCUUCUCCUCAUUUUGACCUCCAACUCACCGGAAUCCAUGGCUUCCCAGGCCAUGGAUGAUCUAUGUUCAUCUCCCGUCGUUCCUGUGUACCAGCUGCUCGAGGGUUUGAGGCAAUACCUCAAAGGUCUCCACCUAGACCUCCGCUGACUUAUGGUUUCUGGCCAUAUCCGUCUUGGCUCCGGCAUUCUUAGCCUCAUGAGCCGGCCUUCAGCCUUAUCUGACUUAAAUCGGAUAUUUUUGAGGCCUUUCUCACUCUAGGGUUCGUCUGAAACCCUAGCUGCUUGAGGGUUUCCUCCGUUUCUCUUCAAAUAUGUGUGUAUUCUUCUUUACUUUGAGUUUUAUAAAGUUUUCCCCAAUUUUUCCUAUAUAAAAUUCCUUUUCUUUCAAAAUUGCCUCUUUCUGGUUUAGGGUUUUCUGGGAAGUGCUUAAAUGUUUUCCGACUCUUCUUCUUCUGUGCUUAUGUGGUUCUUAUUCUAUGUUUUCGGUUCUCACACGCUAUGUUUCUAUGCCAUGUUGCUAUGCUAUGUUCUGUUAUUUGCCUUCCACUAUGACCUGAUUUGAUUCGUCUACUACAUCUUUCAACCAUGCCCAUUAAGUGUUCUUGCUAUGCUAACUUAAGCGGGUUUUCCUCUACUGUUUCUCCUAAUCUUGUUGUAUUUACUCUUUUUGCAUUAAAACUCCUACUGUAUCUACUUGCUUAAUCUUCUCUGCGUUUGAUUCAAGUUGAAAACCCUAAGAUUUGGGGGUUUUUGACGAAUGUUGCUUUGUGUGUUUGGACUAGGGUUCUGUUUGUGCCCUGGACUCUCUCAGACUCACUGUGAACCCACUUACUGAGUUUGAAUCCUUUUUGUGUAUGAUUUUCUCUAUACUAGACCCCUCUGAUUAGCAUGACAACCCCUUUUUAUAUGUGUUAAUCUUUCUUUAAAUAGGUUUUCAAUUUAUGUUUAAUUCAGAAUCCCUUUUGUUUUGGGGUUGAUUGAUUGCUACUGAUUCCCCCUAGGUAAAACCUUUUCCUUAGUUUCAAAUCUUUGGUUCCUUGACUUACUUGGUACUGACUGGUUUCUACCAUAUUUGUUUAUCCAUAUAUUUCAAAAUUUCUUCCCUUACUUUAAAACUUCUAUGUAUUUACCCCUAAUUGCCUACUUUACGUAAACUGUUUGUUUGAUUUUUCUUUCCUUAAAUAACUCUCACCGAUUGAAUCUGAAUUCCGUAAUUACAGGAAGCCUUUUGUAAUUUUAUUCUAAAUUGAUAUUCAGUUCUUUAACUUUUCUCCUUGCCUUAUUUACUACCUACUUUCAAAACUAUAAAAAAACCCACCCCUUUUACUUCAAACACACGAACAGUACAAGUUCACACUAAAAAAAUCAUCUCUUCUCCUCUCUGCUUUUCUUUGUUACUUGUUCUGCUACUCGAUUUUAGCCAGCUGAAAGCCAAGGCUAAAAUAUAAGGUUCCAUUUGCCCUAUUUCUUUACCAUUUGAAGUUGCAAACUGGUAGGUCUAUGAUUUAAUACCAUCUCCAAAACUACAUGUUUAAUUGUUUCUUUUCACAUGUCUGUUUAUGUUCAUUAUGCAGUUAAAACUUCAGCAUGUAUAUCCCUACCCCUAUACCCGUAUGUUUUAAUACCGUGUGCUUGUAUGCAUGCUUUCAUGUACUUCCCUCUCCCCAAAUCCCUUUAGUCAACUUCUGUUUGACUUUGUUUCUUUUCUUAUGCAAAUGCUUUCAUAUUUGAUCCCUUUCCCUGACCCCCUUUUGUAUGUGAGUAUUGUUUNNNNNNNNNNNNNNNNNNNNNNNNNNNNNNNNNNNNNNNNNNNNNNNNNNNNNNNNNNNNNNNNNNNNNNNNNNNNNNNNNNNNNNNNAAAAUUGUUUUGGACUAGAGUGGUACUCUAUUGCCACCUUUUGUUCAGAACCAGGCUGUUCUAAGCGGCUACUCAAAUCAGUCCAAUUCCCUUACCCCCAUUUAUGUGUUGAUCUUGACUUAGGUCUGUUGAUGUCCUAAUCAUCAUACAGGCCUGAGUCUGACUUAUUUCAAGUAUGCUUUUAUUUGUUUAAGCCAUGUAAAAGGUCAGGGGUGUUCCAGCCCUGUUCAUGGAUAGGUAUGACCACCUUUUGCAUUGGACUUCCUCUAAUCCCUCACUGUACACUUACUCUAAGUUCUUUAAGUCCUACCCCCCCCCCCUCUGGUACGCCAUGCUUAGAGACCCUUGAGUUCUCUCUGAACUUGGAUACCUAAGGGCUGGUAAUUCUACACCUUGCACUACUCUAAUCAUCAUUUUAAGGUGUAAGCAUUGCCUGGGCUUUCUGAGAGCCCUUGGAAAUUUGAAACACUCUAAGAAAAAGCCUCGGAAUCUGGAGGCCGGAUUUGGUAUAAUACAUAUGUUGGACAUUAAGGUUGCUUUGAGCUUCCUCGGGUCCAUUUUAACUUUGAUGUGCUUAUUUCCUUAGUCUUUUCUCUUCAUUUAUGUAACAAGCUUUGUAAAAAGAAUUUGGGGAUAUAGUGAAAAGGGUGUGUGAGGGGUUUUAUAUUAUUUCUAAUCAUAUAGAAGCCAUGCCUAUAGGAUUUUUUAUAUAUUGCUAAUCAUAUAGAAACCAUUCCUAUAGGAUUUUUAUAUUGCAAGCAUAAUAAAAAUCAUGCCUAUUGGAUUUCGAUAUUGCAUCUCACCUAGAAACCAUGUCUAUAGAUUUUUUAUAUCGCAAAUCACUUAGAAAUCAUGCCUGUAGGAUCUUAAUAUUGCAUUUAGAAAUCCUGCCCAUAAGUCUUUAACAUUCCGUAAUCAAGUGCAUAUAAAAAUCAUGUCUAUAAGGACUAUAUAAAAAUGAUAGGCGAACAGUAGGUCCCCUAAACGUAUAAAAGCAACAACAAAUCCAUCUGUAAAUGUCAUGCGUUAGACGCCUUCAAUAAAAGAAUUUUCCCAAUAGUGUCUAUUUUGAAAUCUGACCAAAUCUGCCUUCUACGCUAUUUUUAAACCCAUAAAGAUCUUUUAAAUUCCAAACAUGCAUUUGUCUAAAAUCAGCCUUUCCUUUUUUUUUUUUUGAUUUUUUGCACUUCAAUGCGUUUUUUUUCUUGCAUCAUUUUACCUAAAGCAGUUCGGCUAUUUUAUAAGCCAUUUCGGAACUUCUGCAAGUCCUAAAUUCCUGUUUCAAAUUAUCGUUUUCUGAAAUUACUGGUUUUCAAAAACACUUUAAGUUUCAACAAACCGGAUCCGAGUGGCUUAAAGUAGACUUAUUAUCCAUCUUUAUGUGUUUAACUAAUCUAUCCAUUAUUAGUUUUAAGCUUAAGACCAAAUCAAUAAUUGCAAGUCAUGCUAAACUAAAUGUUGUUGUGAUUUACAGGGUUUUGCAUGAGCCUUUGAAUGUCUGAUUUGUAUACCCUUAUGUGCUAUCUGUUUUUGGUUGACACCUUCGCAUUUUUACCUUUGAAACUCCAUAUAUGCCUUAUCCUUCUUCCCCCUUUUUAGGUUUAUGAGUCCUAAUACCCCGGGACUAAUAGGUUGGGACGGGUAUUAGCAUGUAAUAAGUAAACGAGACUAAACGCGUUUCAAUACCAUAACGGGGUGGGAAGGGUAGAACAUGGAGAUGAUGACAAUGCGAUAAUAUCAUAAAGCGACCCCUCGUUGGGAAUAUGUGCGGGAUAUUAUAUCGAAUGAUCCAUACUAUAAUUAAACCUAGGAUCCCCCCUUACUUAUACUUUUUUUGUUUGAAUAAUUUGUCUAAAACAACUUUUUUACUUGUACUAUUCUUCUUUCAAAAUUGCCCACUAGUUUUGUAUUCUUUAUAUGCACAUUUGCUUGUCUGUUUCUAUGAUUCUUAAAGUCACAUCUAAGCAAGGCCAGGAACCACGCUAGUGGAUCUUGAGGGGCGCCUAACACCUUCCCCCCCGAGAUAAUUUCAAGCCCUUACCCGAACUCUGGUGUUCAUUCAAAACUUUCUUCUUAUUAAAAACAAGCCCGGGAACCAUACUAGUGGAUCUUUAGGGGUGCCUAACACCUUCCCCUCGAGUUAAUUUCAUGCCCUUACCCGAACUCUGGUUUUCAUUCAAAAUCUUCUUCUUCUUAAAAGUGUCCUAAUGCACUAUAAUCAUUAGGUGGCGACUCUUCAAACUCCAUAACCCAAUUCCCAAAAGGGAAUUAGAGUUGUUUUGUCCAUAAUUUCGUAAACCCCAUUUUGCCCUUUUAGGGGGGAAAACAGGGGCGUCGACAGCAUGGCGACUCUGCUGGGAAUUUUCUUUAAGGCUUUUACCAUUAAUUGCUUUUGUGACUUUAUUUGUUUACUUUAAUCGCAUUUAUUUCCUGUUUUAUUCCAUCACAAUUACUAACUUGACUCUUCUUCUUUUCUCUUUCCUUUAACUUCUUUCUUUACCGCAAUACUGUUGUAAUUUCGAGCAAUCAUUGUAAACGUUUAUCUAAUGACAAUGAAAAUACAUGUAACUUGUUUAAUUAGUGUAAUUGCAUCUCUCAAUAUCAUAUUCCACUCAUGCCAAAACGAAUCCUAUAUCAAUGCUUACAAUGAGUGGUUGCGCCCAUCCAAUAUUAUAAACCCCCCCAAAUGUGGCAAAUGCAUAUUUGCGGUAAAACCAGUCGAUCAACGGUGUAGUCGAUGGUUCCGCGCCUUUACCUAUUGAGUUGUUCAUUCAAAGGUACCUUGUCUAGCACUUCAAAAAUAGAAACCUUACUAUAUUGAACUGUUCAUGCAUCAUGGUCAACCUUAGCCGAGUCGGUUAUGUUGUCUGUAUAAUGACUCAUUAAGAUAGCCUAAACCAAAGUCCAUCGAAUUUCCUGAAACCCAAACGGACAUUCACGUUAUGUGUGCUGAUUUGGAGAACUGAAUGCCUUUUGCUAACUAUUGAUUUAAAUAGUCGAGUCUGGUGGGGUUAAGGGCCUAACACUUUGUUUUGCAGAAAUGAGGCACUAGGUCCCAAAGUUCGGUAUGUUAUCCAACAUCCACCCAAGGUUGCUAAGCUAGUGGGAUGAUUUUCAUGAACGUCCGCAAGUACUUAGGGAACUUGCCUUCACUCCUGGAAAUCCAACUAAAAAACAAAAUCAUUGAGUUUUCCACUUUGCUUUUGGGAUAAUAAUCGAUCGAUGUUGCGUUUUAGGGAUUUAGAAAUGACCCCUUUGCUAGAAGAAAUAGGAGGCCUAGCUGGCAUCCCUUGGGAAAUGCCAGGUUUACUCAUGCCGGAGAAUCGCAAAAUUAGAGGUUUCCUUAAAAUGAUGGGAAUCAAGAAGAAUCCUGACCUUUCUUGCUUGAAGGACUCUUACAUACCAUUCGACUUCUUAUUACGAAAGAUAUGGACACAGUAAGUCCUAUCGCACCUACAUGGAUGAAUUCACCCUCACCUCUUUCGGGAACAUACAUAGAAGGGUGUUUGUGUUCAUGUUUUGUUUCUUGGGCAUGGUAAGUUUCCCUAUGAAGAAGGCUAGGAUCCACAAACUAGCCAUGGUUACCAAGACUUUGAUGGAAGGGAUCGACGGGCAGUCUUUCAGCAUAGUACCUAUGAUCCUCGCUAAAAUCUAUCGAGCCUUGGGAAACUAUCAACAAGGGGCUCCACAUUUCAAGGGAUGUAACUUACUACUUCAACUAUGGCUCCUGGAACACCUUUAGAAAGGCGAUUACAGACAGAAAAUCAUAUGCAGAGAUUAGGAUGACCAUAUCGCUUUUCAUCAUCCAAAGGGAAUAAACUUCAUGCCCAAUAUGUUUGCUCAGCCAGAGGACGCCAAUGGAUGGGUAGAAUUGUUCGAGAAUCUAAAGGAAGAGCGAAUUCAGUGGAUGCUCGAGCGGUUCCCAAAAGUGGAGUUCAUUGUCUGUUACAGAGACGAACCAUUCCUCAUACUCAUUGGCCUAAGGGGAACUCAUCCUUACAUCCCCCUCCGAGUAAUGAGGCAAGCUGGAAGGAAACAAAUCAUACCCGAGGUAGAGAAAAUGAGUCAUUUUAAGGCCGACUUUCAAAAUAAUGAUAGCCCGCACAGGUGUCACGCUCAGCACAUGUGGAAUUGCAAGCUCGUUCUAGGGAGGGAAUCUAUUGAACCAGACAGGUAUCAUGCCGUGUGUGUGCCACACUACAAAGGUUGGUUGGAAGAUGAUCUCAUUGGUUUGGGUCGUCCAGGGUUCGUCCACGGUCACGGGAUUAUUGAUGAGAAAAUGGAAGCACAAGUCAAAUACAGUCAAUUGAAAAAGAGGAUGAGAGAGUGUGAAAAUGAACAUCGGGAGAUACAAGAAGCAUACAAGAAGCUGAUCAACGAGUGGAAGGAUAUGGCCUUCACCGCCAACAACCGUUUGGGGUAUCAGGAGCAAGGUUUGGUGGAGUUGGAAGGAAAGUUCUUGCAAAGGAUCGAAGACUGUCAGAAUGCUGAGGGAAGCACAGUCGGACAUUUGGCUCGAGCCUACCUACUAUUAGGGAUGCGCGAGUUGAUGCAGGUUUACAAGGGAGACAAGAAUACCGAAUCUUUGGAAGGUCCUUCUGGGACCAAGUAGUUAGGACUUUUCCUUUUCUGCUUUAUUGAAAUAAGGCUACUGGCCAUUAGUGAUAUCUCUUAUCAUUUAGUUGUUUUGUUUUUAUCAAUAAAAUGAGGCAUUUAGCAUUAUAAGUUCUCCAAAUUUUUACCUCGGGCCCAAACGAGGCACCCAAAUUAAGAGGCGAGUUAUAUUCCCGCACAAUGUGUUUAAAUAUUGCAAUAUUAUUUAUCAUAAUCCACACUGACUUUUUACCUUUUUGCUUUUUCUUUUAUUUUUAUUCCCCUCCCCGAAGGUUAGUUCGUGCAUUCUAGCACCAUCAGCAUACUCCACAAGAUCAAAGGGUUCUCCACCUCCUCCCCCUCCUAGUCCUACCAGAAAUAGGAACAACGGAAAGAUGAGAGAUACAAGCGCUAGAAAGGAACUUGUAGAGACUUCUCAAAAUGUUGCAAUUAUCAAAGAAACUGCUGCUCAUCUGGAGCAAACUUUGCUGAGGUUCUGAGAGGAAUUGGACGAAGUUAGAAACCUAGCGAGUUUGUCAAUCACUCUUGUCGCGCCUGAUGUUAACGCCCAGAAUCACACACCACCAUAAAACAUCCCACACCCUCCAAUGCAACCCGCUCAUAACACUCCUGAACCACAAAAUACCAUAACAUUCCAAUCUUUGUGAACUCCAUGCCACUUUACAGUCAGCCUAUCACUAGUGCAGUUGAGGCAGAGGACAAGAGUUUCCUCAUUCAUAAUUUGGCCUCUCAUAUCAAGAAGUUGACUAGCGGGGUUUCGGGUUUCGAAGGUAACAAGGGUGUUGAAGGGCUGAAUUACGAAUAUCUCUAUGUUCAACCAGAUGUUGAGCUCCCGGAGGGGUACAAACCUCCCAAGUUUGAACUGUUUGACGGUACCGGUGAUACCAAGGUACACUUGAGAAUGUAUUGUUACAAGCAAGUACGAGUCAGUUGGGACGAGAAUAUCGUAUGAAGCUAUUAAUGAGGAGCUUGAAGGGUAAUCCAUUAUCCUGGUAUAUUAGCCAGGAUGCGAAGAAAUGGACUUGUUGGGUAAAUAUGGAGUCUGAUUUGAUGGAUCGGUUUAGGUUCAACACUGAGAACGCACUAGAUGUGUUCUAUAUUCAGAAUCUUAAGAAGAAUCCUACAAAGACCUUUCCUGAGUGUGCUACUCGUUGGAGGUCAGAAGCUGCUAAUGUCAGACCGGCCUUGGAGGAAGAAGAAAUAAACAAAUUCUUCGUCCAUGCUCAAGAUCCACAGUACUAUGAAAGAUUGAUGCUAAUUGAGGGUCAAAAGUUAAGCCAUAUCAUCAAAUUGGGAGAAAGGAUUGAAGAAGGCAACAAGAACUAUAGGGUCACUAGCCUCGAGGCAUUGCAAGACAACAACAAAGAAGAAGGAUGUAAAUUCCGUAAUGGCUGCACAAAGGAUCAACUCUCCCAUGAAAUACCAGGCCUAUCCCUCAGCUCCACUCACAUAUCAGCCUACCUUAAAUUACCAAGCACCAUCACCUACUUACCAAAUUCCACCCCCUACUUACCAAUCACCUUCACCAUCCACAUAUCAACCCAGUUCACUAAGACAUUCCCAACCUGCACCCGUAUACACAACAUAUAACUCCCAACCUUCUCACUACCCAUCACCUCCUGCCCGCCAAAAUUUCCCUUUGCUUACCAUUCACCGCCACCAACCACAUAUCAACCCAUUUCACCCAGAUAUUCCCAACCUGCACCCGUAUACCAAGCAUAUAACUCCUAACCUUCUCACUACCCAUCACCCCCUACUCUCCAAAACUUCCCUCGACCUAGACCAAACUUCGACCGCAAACCUCAUAGAUAAUAUACCGCCAUAGCCGAGCCAAUUGACCAAUUAUAUGAAGAACUCAAAGCAAUCGGUUACGUUACCCCUAUCCCAGCCGUAACUCCAGAAAACCCUUCCCAAUAGAUCAACCCAAACAAGACUGCGCAUACCAUUCUGGGAUGAAGGGCCAUACCAUUGACGAGUGUUGCUCAUUAAAAGACAAGAUUCAGAAUCUGAUUGACAACAAGAUCAUUAUAGCAAAGGAGCCUGCUCCUAAUGUCCGCAACAACAGUCUGCCUGACCACAAGGGUGGAGGCAUCCACAUGAUUGAGAUCGAAGAUGAUUGGGACCCCAAGGGGUUAAUCAGUUUGAUAGCUGAAAAAAAACGAGCCUAAGAAGCCAACGGUUACUCUUAAUCUGGUUGUUUUGCCUGACCACAAGGGUAGAGGCAUCCACAUGAUUUAGAUCGAAGAUGAUUGGGACCUCAAGGGGUCAAUCGGUCUGAUAGCUGAAGGAGAUGAGCCUAAGAAGCUAACGGUUACACUCAAUCCCAUUAUCGUCCUGAUUCAGCCCUCUGAGGGUGACAUGGUAAAUGUAUCCAUGCCACUCGAUUUUGAAGUACCUUCUACAAAGGCGCCAAAACAAAUUGAGGUUGAGUUCGGAGUUCCAAAAGCACAUGCACCAUUUGAAGUUACUGUAUUGCCUCCCAAGGGGCCUAUUCCGGUCUCCAUGACAAACAUGACUUCGUUGCAAACAAAUGCUAUACCUUGGGAUUACACCGCUGAGGCUAGAAGGAAAGGAAAGAUGUAUACUGGAGAAACAACUGCCGCACAAGGCAUGACUAGGACAGGCACCCGAAACAUUUGGCUGAGUCUAGCAAGCAGGCUUCCGGGCGAGCUGUUGAAACUAGACACGAUGACCUCUGGAGAAAGGUACAGGCAAAAAAUUACUCAGUCAUUGAGCAGCUGAACAAGACAAUGGUUGUUGAAACUGGACCCGAUGACCUCUGGAGAAUGGUACAGGCCAAGGAGUACUUGGUCGUUGAGCAACUGAACAAGACACCAACACAAAUUUCUACUCUGGCCCUCCUACAAAGCUCUAAGGCACAUAAGAACGAGUUGAUGAUAAUACUAAGUGAAUCUUAUGUUCCGAGCAACAUAACAGGAGGCGAAAUGGCAAACAUGGUGGGAAGGUACUGGAAAGCCAUAAGAUUACCUUCCACGAAGAUGAAUUACCACCAAAAGGACUUGGUCACAACAAAGCAUUUCACAUCACUGCGCAAUGCGAGGAUCACUUUAUCACUAGGAUUCUAGUCGACGGGGGGUCCAGCCUCAACAUUUGUCCGUCGGUGACUCUCAUGACAUUGGGCUAAGGGUUGCACGAAAUCAAAGUCAGGGCUAUCAAUGUCACAGCUUUUGAUGGAUAUCUGAGGUCCACCAUUGGAGAGAUUAGCUUAUGCCUGCAAAUGAGACCCACCUGGUUUGACGUUGAGUUCCAAGUCAUUGACGUACCAGCAUCCUACAAUUUAUUGCUAUGAUGACCCUGGAUCCACGCCGGUGGGGCUGUGGCAUCAACAUUGCAUCAAGCUGUGAAAUUUGUAUGGAAUCAUCAAGAAGUAAUCACUCAUGGAGACGGUAGCAACCCCAUAUACAACGAGUCAAUGCCAUAGACAAUGAUAAAUGGUGGGAUAGCAAUAUCGAGAGAAUUCUCAAUUGGAGCGGAUACGAGCCCAGAAAGGGGCUUGGCAAGAGCCUCCAGGAUAUUACCAAGCCCAUCCAGUUGAAGAAGCAUAAAACCACUUUCGUCCUAGGUUAUGAAUACACUUGGGAAGAUUUCCAGUACUGGUCGCCAUCGUGGCGCGGCCUCUACUACCCACUGAAGCACCCUCUACCCCAGUUAGAGCAGACCUUUCAGCUCGCAAAUUUCAUAUACGGGUCAGAGGAAGAUGAGACACUGGCAGCAAUGAAGAACUUAUUUCUGGAGGAUAAUAUGGACUGCUGUCUUACCUUCAAGAAGGAAGGGGAGGAAGUCCCUUCCAUCCAAGUUGUGAACCGGGGAGAACACCUCACCAAUUGGUCGAUCAGGAACACAUGUGCCAGUAGAGCCUCGGGGUAGCAAGGCUAAAAUGACACAUAUGCAUUGCACUUUACUUUUACUUGAUUUUAUUUUUCAGCAUUGUCUUUACUUUUGAAAAGAGCUCCGAUGUUUCAGACAAUUAUGAAUUUAAUCAAAAGCAUUUUCCAAGUUUACCUUUAUAUUUCACUCUUAUUUAUUUUCUCUCUCAUUUCCUUUAUUUUACGCGGUAUUACUAUUACAUAUCUUGAUGAUGAACCGACAAUUGUAACUUGCAACGAGACAAUGCGAUAAAUGGACAUUGAUUCAGAAGAGGAUUAAAAAUACUAGAAGAGUUUGUUAGAGAGGUCGAGAAUUUUGAGAACAGAUCUAAAUCUAACUACGAUGAAACAGAGGUUGUUAAUCUGGGAGACUCAGAAAAUGUCAAGGAAACACGCAUCAGCGUACACUUGUCCCAUCAGAAAAGGAAGAAUACACAGAAUUUUUGAAAGAGUAUGAGGAUAUCAUCGCCUGGUCGUAUGAUGAUAUGACUGGUCUCAGCACGUCUAUCGUGGCUCACAAGUUGCCUCAUAUGCGACAUGCCCACCAGUCAAACAGAAACUCAGAAAAUUCAAGCUAGACAUGAGUUUCAAAAUCAAAGAAGAAGUCACCAAGCAAGUCAAAGUUAGGGUUCUCAGAGCGAUAAAGUACCCAACAUGGUUAGCCAAUGUUGUGCCGGUGCCAAAGAAGAAUGGGAAGGUUAGAGUCUGUGUCGACUAUUGGGAUCUCAACCUAGCUAGUCUUAAAGACGACUUCCCUUUGCCAAAUAUACACAUACUGAUUGAUAACUGCGCCAAGCAUGAGCUCCAGUCCUUUGUCGAUUAAUUUGCUUGAUACUAUCAGAUAUGGAUGGACGAAGAAGAAGCAGAGAAACGACAUUCAUCACGCCAUGAGGAAUGUACUAUUGAAGAAUGAUGCCAUUCAGUUUGAAGAAUGAUGGUGCUACCUACAUGAGAGCCAUAACCACAAUCUUUCAUGAUAUGAUACACAAAGAGAUCGAGGUGUAUGUGGACGACGUCAUCAUUAAAUCCAAAAAGCUGCAGAUCACAUGGAAGAUUUGACAAAAUUCUUCAAUAGACUGAGGAGAUACAACUUGAAACUAAACCCCGCCAAGUGUGCAUUCGGGGUCUCGGUCGGAAAGUUAUUGGAUUUCAUUUUGAGUCGCUGAGGAAUAGAAUUAGAUCCGUCAAAGAACAAAGCCAUUCAAGAGUUGCCACUGCCAAAGAACAAGAAAAAUGUAAUGAGUUUUUCUGGGGAGGCUCAAGUAUCUCAGUCGAUUCAUAGCUCAAUCCACUGUCAUUUGUGAACCCAUCCUCAAGAUGCUAAAGUAGGAUGCCGUCACUAAAUGGACUGAUGAUUGUCAAAAGACCUUCAACAGAAUCAAGGAAUAUUUGUCAACGCCGCCAGUCUUGGUUCCACCUGAGCCAAGGAGACCUCUACUGCUUUAUCUUGCAGUAUUGGAUGGACAAUUUGGUUGUGUUUUGGGGCAACAUGAUGAAACAGGAAGGAAGGAACAUGCCAUCUACUACCUCAGUAAGAAGUUUACCCCGUGUCACACCUCCUUUUUUUUUUCUAUACACCCCCGCAAAGGGAGCGUAAAGGAGUUUUUCCAAUUAAAGGACAAUCGAAACGGGAUUUAGUUAUUAAUUAUUUGAGAGUCGCUACUUGGGAGAUUAAUGAUGUCCCAAGUCACCGAUUUGAAUCCAGAAUCAAGGAAAAAGAUGACUCUGUUACAGUCUUCAAACCAGAAAUCCGAGUAAGGAAUUAUGUUAACCCGGGAGAAGGUGUUAGGCAUUCCCAGGUUCCGUGGUUCUAGCACGGUCACUUAACUGUUGCAUUUGAUUUUAUCUGAUUUUAUUACAUGCUAGCUUAUGUGCCUUUUAUUUAUAAACCUCUUUCACCAUUAUUUAUUUUAAAAAACUUGCGACGUCGUGAAAAUAUAUUUCUAAUCACGUCACCACCAGUGUACACGUGAUCGUCGACACGUUUCGACUUCGUCGAGAUUUGGAUUUAGGUUGCAUCAAUGCACACCCGAGUUUUAGAAAGUAAUUUAAUUAAAUCGCGCUUGAAGGUUCUAGCGUAAUGUCGUUUGGGAAAGGCCGUUGAAAUUCGCAAUACGUUCCUUCCAACUUCUAACAAUUUUUAAACAACCAAUUAAUGAGGGCCCCACAUUUAUUCUUGUUCGGUGAGGCUCGUCUCCAAAUUUGACCCAUUUUUCAAUCAUUAUUUGUUUUAUAAGGAUUACGGCAUCAUGAAAACGUGUUUCUAACCCCGUCGUCAUCAAGGAACCCGUGGUUAUUAACACAUUUCGACUUCGUCGAGAUUUGGAUUUGUGUUGCAUCAAUGCACACCCGAGCUUAAGAAAGUAUUUUAAUUAAACGCGCCUAAAGAUUCUAGAGUAUUAUUAUUUUGGGGAAGGCCAUGAGAUUUGCUAAACGGCCCUUCCAUAUUCUAAAUAUUUUUAAACCUUUAUUGAGGGCCCCGCAAUUUAUAUUUCUGGUGCGAGGCUCGUCUCAUAUAUUUUAAAAGGGCAAGCCUAAAGCGAGUAACGUGUUUGUGAGUUAUUGGAACUAAGCUUUCAUGCUCCAUUUCAUUUCAACGAUUAAUUCCCAAAGCAAGCACAAAGAAGCAUAUCAACUUUCAUGGCAAAAUUAGCGUGCGCAACUAAAUAUUCAACCAAAGAGAGAUAACUAGAUCUUAGUGCGCACAUUCAUGAAGUCACAACAGGAGCAAAGUCUAGUGGCACUCUUUAACAAAGCAUGAUGAGAAUAGAGACAGAGCCAUACGGCAAUCGCCAUAGGAGAAUACAACAAGGAAACUAUUUGAGCUUGCUUGAUUUAGACCUUCACAAAAGUAUAGAACCAAUAUGACAAAAUAACUUCAAGCAUCACUAAACUAUAUAGUAGCAAAGAAAAGGAACAGACCUUUUAUAUGUGAAAGCGUUCCGAACACAAAGAAGGAAAUUCGACAAGAAAACUUGGCGAAGCUGUACUGGGAAAAAUGACUCAACGGCAACCUCACAAAUCUGACUAGAGAGCAAUGGGCGAGCAGGAACAUGAACGGAGUAUUCAAACAUAGCCUCGCCGGCGACUCAAAACCUCGCUUAAAACUCGAACGACGACCUCACAAACUCUAAGUUUUAUAAGCAGAACAGAAGUGGUAACAAUGUCACGGCGACGAAGAGAUCUGAGCCAUACGGCAAUCGCCAUAGGAGAAUACAACAAGGAAACUAUUUGAGGUUGCUUCAUUGCAACUUCUGUAAAUAAUGGUUGUUUGUUGCUGCUGCUAUAGAGGAGAAGUAGAACAAUCCAAACCAGUAGAAGAAUACUAGGAUCUAAACACUUAAUUCUAAGCUAUGGAAUUAGUUUUAUCAACAAAUAAUCAAUCACAUACUAGCUUCAAAUUUGCAAACAUUUUUUCAACAGCAAAUAACAUGCGUUUAAAUCAAUUGACCUGUAUUUAUGCGGUUCAUAAUAAUUAUCUGAAAUCGCGGUUGAACACUUCCCUUGAAACAAAUAUAAACAUACGUUCAAAUCAGCCCAAACAUUGAAAGCAAGUGGAAAGUAAUUGUGUUUAGAAUUAUUAUUCAAACAAGAACAGAGAAAUUGACCUGUAUUUAUGCGGUUCAUAACAAUUAUCUGAAAAUCGCGGUUGAACACUUCCCUUGAAAACAAAUAAAGAUCCUUCCAAAUCCACAUUGCUAAACGAAUACAGCGUCGAUGGACUCCCUAAAAACUGAACUAGUAAUCAGAACCUAUGAUCUUCAUUUAAAAUGAACUUCGAACAAAACUAACUCGCCGGAUCCUUCGACGGAACUCGACUACUCGUUUGAUUUUUGCCGAAAUUUAGAGCUGAUUGGGACUGUCUGACAUUCCUUUUUUCGCUACAAUUUUGGUGGAUUUCACUUCUUUUGGCCAGAUUUUGAGCAAUUUCGUGGGUGUUCUAUGUGGGAUAUGAAUGGACUUCUGUCCGUCUCUUCUUUAGUUUUUCCUAUCCUCUUUUUGUGUGUAUAUUUUGGUUUUAUAGAGUGUAAAGGGUAGGGUGUUAUGUGAGGGAGUAAUUUUCGGGGGGAAGUAUUUUGUGGGGAAAUAAUUUUUGGGGAGGUCUCAUAUGGGGAGAAGUGUUU
This 26216-nucleotide long non-coding RNA is filed under the name Nicotiana benthamiana. Its description in RNAcentral is "long non-coding RNA (NBEN_LNC033430)". The record is from RNAcentral. Lineage: Eukaryota; Viridiplantae; Streptophyta; Magnoliopsida; Solanales; Solanaceae.